This 793-nucleotide long non-coding RNA is filed under the name Capsicum annuum. RNAcentral's name for it is "long non-coding RNA (CANN_LNC007548)". Lineage: Eukaryota; Viridiplantae; Streptophyta; Magnoliopsida; Solanales; Solanaceae. The record is from RNAcentral.
AAAAUAAAAAUUGAUAAAUGAUACUUUUGGGCUUGUUAUAUGUUAGUUUAUACCUAAAUAGACAUAUUCAGAAGUUAAACGUUGUGAGUUCUGAAUUGAGAGAGUUUGUUUUGAAAUGUAUAUAUUGCUCUCCUAUCGGUUCAUUUUGGUCAUGUAGACAAAUCGCGUUCCUUAUGGGAAGGAAGAGGAUGUUGAAGGACUAGGUUCUAUUGAACUCGCAAACUCUAUGGUCGGAUCCUCCACUAAUGUCUCAGGAACAUCAUGCAUGUUACAUGAAGUUAAACGUUGUGAGUUCUGAAUUGAUAGAGUGUGUCCUAUCGGUUCAUUUUGGUCAUGUAGACAAAUCGUGUUCCUUAUGGGAAGGAAGAGGAUGUUGAAGCACUAGGUUCUGCUGAACUCGCAAACUCUAUGGUCGGAUCCUCCACUAAUGUUUUAGGAACAUCAUGCAUGUUGCAUGACGUUAAACGUUGUGAGUUCUAAAUUGAGAGUGUGUGUAUUGAAAUGUAUAUAUUGCUCUCCUGUCGGUUCAUUUUGGUCACGUAGACAAAUCGCGUUCCUUAUGGGUAGGAAGAGGAUGUUGAAGCACUAGGUUCUGUCGAACUCACAAACCCUAUAGUUGGAUUCGUCUUUGGUUUCUUGUAACCAGAGUCGGAGCUAGCAUUAGAAGUACGAGUCCAUCAUAAUUCAAUAUCUUUAGUCCAAACUCCAUACAUUUGUCGAGAAAUUUGUACAUAUUAUAAACUUCAAAAAUCAUAAAUUUCAAAUCCUGAAUUCGUCUUCGCUUGAAACAUCA